UUCCAGACUCCUACGGGAGGCAGCAGUGGGGAAUAUUGCACAAUGGGGGAAACCCUGAUGCAGCGACGCCGCGUGAGUGAAGAAGUAUUUCGGUAUGUAAAGCUCUAUCGGCAGGGAAGAAAAUGACGGUACCUGACUAAGAAGCCCCGGCUAACUACGUGCCAGCAGCCGCGGUAAUACGUAGGGGGCCAGCGUUAUCCGGAUUUACUGGGUGUAAAGGGAGCGUAGACGGUGAUGCAAGUCAGAAGUGAAAGCCCGGGGCUCAACUCCGGGACUGCUUUUGAAACUGUGUGACUGGAGUGCAGGAGAGGUAAGUGGAAUUCCUAGUGUAGCGGUGAAAUGCGUAGAUAUUAGGAGGAACACCAGUGGCGAAGGCGGCUUACUGGACUGUAACUGACGUUGAGGCUCGAAAGCGUGGGGAGCAAACAGGAUUAGAUACCCCGGUA
This 446-nucleotide ribosomal RNA is filed under the name uncultured bacterium. Its description in RNAcentral is "bacterial SSU rRNA". It matches the Rfam family "Bacterial small subunit ribosomal RNA", at positions 329 to 792 of the family's 1533-position model. The record is from RNAcentral.